Molecule: long non-coding RNA, 1262 nt
Organism: Stegodyphus dumicola
Lineage: Eukaryota; Metazoa; Arthropoda; Arachnida; Araneae; Eresidae
Source: RefSeq, a predicted model, not a curated record
GGCUUGUGAUACAACCGUGAAGAAUAUUCUCCAAAAGCGAUAAGUACCUGACGGGGGAAGAACAAACAGAUAGAAGCGGUUUGCUUCUAAAACUCGAAGAACGGGUAGAUCUGGAGACUGGUAGGUGUCGAUGCUGGUAUUUUUCCAGAAUCCAUACAUUCGCAAAGACGCAAUAUCAAACUAAGUAGUAAAAGCACUAUGGAUCAGUUGGUUUGAUAAGCAAGAGCCAUUAUAUGAUCGGCUGUUCUUUCACUGUGAAUUUUUUUCAUUCGCGGAGAAGCUUAACUGUUGGUUUAAUAGUUCUUACUUAUAAAAUGCGGCAAUCUGUGCGUGCGUUUGAUUGACUUUCAGACUGCGAGUGUUAUAUGCGUUCUGGAUACUAUUAUUUAAGUUGUUGUUUGCAUGACCAAUAUUUUUCAUCGCAUUGGGAGGUGGUGAUUUUUAAUUUCGUUUUCGAACUUUUACCAUUAAUUUUGUGGAUAUUGAUAGUAUCCCCUUUAUGUUGUCCCACAUAUGCCAGUGCUCGGCUGUGAUCCGAGGAAAGAUCGUUAUUCGUCUGCCAAACUUGAUACGUUAGUUCUCUAGUACUUCUGUGAUUUCGGAGUUUUGUGAUUUUGUUUAUCGAAUAGUGAAAUGAACGAGAAUUCACUUCCCCGCUUCCUGCUAUGGAAAGAAUAGACAGCGCGAGGCCUAAACUCGAUUAUGUGGCUUAAAGUUAUGAUUUCAAUCUGGAGACUUCAAAUUUUGGUGCAAGCUGUAAGGACUCAUUCAUGAAAGACUUACGGCGUUUCUCAAUUAGUGCUUCUGCCUGGACUAAGGGAUAAACUGUUGUCGAAACUGGUUGAUAUGCCAAAACUUUGCAAAGGUGUUCCGUAAUAAUAACGUGAACUUUUUGUGAAUCUCAGUGUGAAAGAUUUCGGGUGAUGAUCGAUCUAGUGCAAGGUGACAUGCCAGAAAACCGGCUGAAGUAACAUCGAGCACCGUUUCUUCACAGCUCAGUGGAAACAGCCAAGAAUCAGAUCAUUCUAUGGCCUGCGAAGCUCUGAUGACGUAAUAAUUGGGAACUGAAACGACCAUCGUAAACCAAAACUUUUUCUCUUCGUUAGCUUCCAUCUUGUAAAACUACGCACUUCAGAUUCUGGCUCUGCUUUGCUUGGAUGCACUUCCGCUGUGCUGCUUGCUACUGCAAUAAUAUCAAAACUGCAAAUGUUCUUAACAGGCACGACUAGGGUGCCAAGUGGUCUGUGGCCACAUAAUGUCAA